RNAcentral lists this ribosomal RNA (253 nucleotides) under uncultured bacterium. RNAcentral's name for it is "partial 16S ribosomal RNA". It matches the Rfam family "Bacterial small subunit ribosomal RNA", at positions 524 to 776 of the family's 1533-position model. The record is from RNAcentral.
GACAGAGGGUGCAAACGUUGUUCGGAAUUACUGGGCGUAAAGCGCAUGUAGGCGGCCAAGCAGGUCGGAUGUGAAAGCCCUCGGCUCAACCAAGGAAAUGCAUUCGAAACCGCAUGGCUCGAGUCCCGGAGAGGAUGGUGGAAUUCUCGGUGUAGAGGUGAAAUUCGUAGAUAUCGAGAGGAACACCGGCGGCGAAGGCGGCCAUCUGGACGAGGACUGACGCUGAGAUGCGAAAGCGUGGGGAGCAAACAGG